Molecule: long non-coding RNA, 629 nt
Filed under: Ananas comosus (pineapple)
Lineage: Eukaryota; Viridiplantae; Streptophyta; Magnoliopsida; Poales; Bromeliaceae
Description: long non-coding RNA (ACOM_LNC000224)
Source: RNAcentral
UAUUAUCUAUUUAAUUUCAAAAUAUAUUUUCUUUUUAAGAUAACGGAUUUUAUUUUUCUAUUUAAUUUCAAAAAUUUAUUUCCUAACAGAUUUUAUUUUUCUAUUUAAUUUCAAAAGUAAUUUUUGCAUUAGAGAUUAUUAUUAAUUAUUUAUCAUUUAAAACAUAUUUUUCUUAAUAGCGUGAUUUAUUAUUUUAAAUUUUUUAUAUACAUAUUUGACAAUCAUAUAAAAUAUGGCCUAAAAUUAAAAAUAAUUUAAAAAAAUUAUAACUUUUUCUAAUAAUUAUUACGUGCAUUUGCACGUACAUUUUACUAGUAUAUAUAUAUAUAUAUAAUUAGACUGGAAUACUAUUAAUAGUAAAACCCUCUUUUUGCUAUCAAGUUUUUAACCAUUGGAUGAAAAAUUGUAGGGUUAGGAUGAUAUUAGUCAGUUAGAGUUGAGUGGUCCCCCUAGGGUUGAGUGGUUCCUACUGGAUUAUAGUAUUUAAUCCAAUGAUCAGAAAUGAUGAAAAGAGUUGAUCCAAAGGCUAAAAAACUGAUAGCAACAAUGGGAUUUUGCUACUAAUAGUAGCCCAGUCCAACUCUCUCUCUCUCUCUCUCUCUCUAUAUAUAUAUAUAUAUAUAUUUCAU